Panicum virgatum (switchgrass) is the source of this 1345-nucleotide long non-coding RNA. RefSeq lists it as uncharacterized. The record is from RefSeq and is a predicted model, not a curated record. NCBI's taxonomy places the organism in Eukaryota, Viridiplantae, Streptophyta, Magnoliopsida, Poales, Poaceae. The transcript is spliced from 3 exons.
CUCUCCUUUUCAUGUGGCGACCCUCCUCUCCUACUAGAGGCCUCCUCCUACUGCACUCGUGGUCUGACUGUGGUCUUCUUCCCCGGCGGACUGUUCGUCGUCGGCCAUUGCUGUUCCCCCAAGCUCUGCUCGCUCAGGUGCGCCUCUCCAUGUUACUGUCCGCUCCUUCCUGGUCUUAUGGUUUGUCUAAGCUGCUACGGUUUUAUUCUUCCUCAGCAUCUUGUUCCGGCUCCGCCAUUUCUGUCUCUCAACCUCCCCUCAUCUAGGUUCAAUCAGGUCCGCUAACGGCCGGCCGCUGCUUUUCCAAUCGACGUGUCCGACCAAGCCAUUUCGCCUCCCAGGGUAUAGCUUCACAGCACCUCAUUACCAGGUCAGGAAAACACCAUUCAGUAAUCGGAGAAGCUCACAUAGCAGUAGACCUCAAUGCUGAAACAAGUUUGCAAGUUCCUUCUGACUCAACCACAGAUGCCCAACUAUCAGUAGACCUAACUACCGAAACCAGCAUCCAACUAGCUUCCUUUGAACUUAACAUCCCUUUAGUGGACGCCCUACUCUCCUUGGCUCUCCAGAUUUCACUUGGUAACAUACAUAUGGAUCCAGUUCAUGUGUUCAGAGCUUUUGUCAUACCCACUCUAGCAUCUGCUGUUUGGAGAAGGUUGCUACAUUUUAUCUCCGCUCACUGUGAUGCAAAGCUACCUCCCAUUCCAGCGUGGAUUCGAGCUCCUCACAUUUACAUUAAUCACCGACCAUCCCUGAGCUUGUACCCGCUUCGAUGGCUUUGCUUAACCCUUAGCAGGAACAUAAAGCUCUGCAUCACAUCGGGCACGCUCAUUUGGACAAUAACCUUUAUCAGUUGCUUACCCAAUACAGCCGCAACUAUAAAGGUCCGAGCAGCCGCCAACUUUCUGCUUUAGAUGCUUCCUCCAGCUCUACUUACAGUGGCAAACAUAAUCGAAGCUGAAUUGUUCCUAUUUGAAUAUUAUAUGAUAGCUACCUACCAGUAUCUUAGGGGAUCCUACUUCCAUCAUUAGCGCAUAACACGGCAUAGAGGUCCUCAACUGCUACUUGCUGCUGGGAAAUCCACCAUCUGGCUAUAUAGCCAUACAUAUAUCACCUAUGCUUAUCAUCAUCAGCCUACAUGCAUCCACAGGCCCUGCAUUCAAUCAUCAGCUUCCAGACGAUGUGAUCGUGAAGGGAUUUCCCAUUCCGCUGAAUGUAUAUAUGCAGCAAUGUCUUUUGCUCACAAAUGUAAUGCCUCCUUAAUUAGUAAACACUCUGUUCUCCUCCAGCUCCUAUGCUGUCAGAAAUGGAGAUCCAGAUUGUAUGCUAGGCGCUACUUUCCCAA